GGGGUAGUGCUGUUGAUCCAAUUGAUAAAAUUGGGUUUCUACUUUGUAUUAUUAUUUUUCUGUUCAUAUUGCAACUCUUUUUUUAUCAUGUUCUAUUUGUCUGUAACUUUGAAUCCCAUUAAAUCUGUUACGAAUUCUGUGCAAUACCAGACAUGUGUUUAUGUUUGUCAUAUGCAAGAAGUAAUUUUGUAGAAAGAUUCUUUGUUUCCUUUGCUUCACCA
RNAcentral lists this long non-coding RNA (221 nucleotides) under Mytilus galloprovincialis (Mediterranean mussel). Lineage: Eukaryota; Metazoa; Mollusca; Bivalvia; Mytilida; Mytilidae. The record is from RNAcentral.